This 635-nucleotide ribosomal RNA is filed under the name Atheta scapularis. Its description in RNAcentral is "partial 16S ribosomal RNA". The stretch from base 383 to 543 matches the Rfam family "Bacterial large subunit ribosomal RNA", at positions 2473 to 2632 of the family's 2925-position model. The record is from RNAcentral. Lineage: Eukaryota; Metazoa; Arthropoda; Insecta; Coleoptera; Staphylinidae.
GUCUUUUUGAUUAUAAUUUAAAGUUUAACCUGCCCAAUGAAUUAUUAAAUGGCUGCAGUAUUUUGACUGUACAAAGGUAGCAUAAUCAUUAGUUUCUUAAUUAGGAACUGGAAUGAAAGGUUGGACGAGAAAAUUUCUGUCUCUUUAUUAAUUUUUUAGAAUUUUAUUUUUAAGUUAAAAAGCUUAAUUAUAUUUAAAAGACGAGAAGACCCUAUAGAGUUUUAUAAAAAUUAUUAUAAUAAUUAUAUUUAAUUUUAAUUUUAUUAUUAUUUUUAUUUAAUUGGGGUGAUUAAAAAAUUUUAUAAACUUUUUUUAAAUAAUAACAUAUAUUUAUGAGUUAUUGAUCCAUUAUAUUAUGAUUAUAAGAAUAAAUUACCUUAGGGAUAACAGCGUAAUUUCUUUAAAGAGUUCUAAUCGAUAAAGAAGUUUGCGACCUCGAUGUUGGAUUAAAAUUUAAAUUUGGUGUAGAAGCUAAAUAAUUUUAGGUCUGUUCGACCUUUAAAAUUUUACAUGAUCUGAGUUUAAACCGGUGUGAGCCAGGUUGGUUUCUAUCUUUAAAAUUAUUUUAAUAUUUUAGUACGAAAGGACCAAAUAUGAAUAAAAUUUAUUUAUUAAUUGAAUUUUAAUAAUAAUUA